GGGGGUAGAGUUCAGUGGUAGAGCGAGUGCUUGGCGUGCACAAGGUCCUGGGUUCAAUCCCCAGUGCCCCCA
RNAcentral lists this transfer RNA (72 nucleotides) under Camelus bactrianus (Bactrian camel). It matches the Rfam family "tRNA". Rfam says of the family: Transfer RNA (tRNA) molecules are approximately 80 nucleotides in length. Their secondary structure includes four short double-helical elements and three loops (D, anti-codon, and T loops). Lineage: Eukaryota; Metazoa; Chordata; Mammalia; Artiodactyla; Camelidae. The record is from Rfam by way of RNAcentral. RNAcentral also lists the same sequence under 2 other names.